This 995-nucleotide ribosomal RNA is filed under the name uncultured bacterium. Its description in RNAcentral is "bacterial SSU rRNA". It matches the Rfam family "Bacterial small subunit ribosomal RNA", at positions 356 to 1376 of the family's 1533-position model. The record is from RNAcentral.
GGGGAAUAUUGCACAAUGGGGGAAACCCUGAUGCAGCGACGCCGCGUGAGCGAAGAAGUAUUUCGGUAUGUAAAGCUCUAUCAGCAGGGAAGAAAAUGACGGUACCUGACUAAGAAGCACCGGCUAAAUACGUGCCAGCAGCCGCGGUAAAACGUAGGUCACAAGCGUUGUCCGGAAUUACUGGGUGUAAAGGGAGCGCAGGCGGGAAGACAAGUUGGAAGUGAAAUCUAUGGGCUCAACCCAUAAACUGCUUUCAAAACUGUUUUUCUUGAGUAGUGCAGAGGUAGGCGGAAUUCCCGGUGUAGCGGUGGAAUGCGUAGAUAUCGGGAGGAACACCAGUGGCGAAGGCGGCCUACUGGGCACCAACUGACGCUGAGGCUCGAAAGUGUGGGUAGCAAACAGGAUUAGAUACCCUGGUAGUCCACACCGUAAACGAUGAUUACUAGGUGUUGGAGGAUUGACCCCUUCAGUGCCGCAGUUAACACAAUAAGUAAUCCACCUGGGGAGUACGACCGCAAGGUUGAAACUCAAAGGAAUUGACGGGGGCCCGCACAAGCAGUGGAGUAUGUGGUUUAAUUCGACGCAACGCGAAGAACCUUACCAAGUCUUGACAUCCCUUGACGAACAUAGAAAUAUGUUUUCUCUUCGGAGCAAGGAGACAGGUGGUGCAUGGUUGUCGUCAGCUCGUGUCGUGAGAUGUUGGGUUAAGUCCCGCAACGAGCGCAACCCUUACUGUCAGUUACUACGCAAGAGGACUCUGGCAGGACUGCCGUUGACAAAACGGAGGAAGGUGGGGAUGACGUCAAAUCAUCAUGCCCUUUAUGACUUGGGCUACACACGUACUACAAUGGCGUUAAACAAAGAGAAGCAAGACCGCGAGGUGGAGCAAAACUCAGAAACAACGUCCCAGUUCGGACUGCAGGCUGCAACUCGCCUGCACGAAGUCGGAAUUGCUAGUAAUCGUGGAUCAGCAUGCCACGGUGAAUACGUUCCCG